Molecule: ribosomal RNA, 447 nt
Filed under: Tenellia cf. pustulata DS-2016
Lineage: Eukaryota; Metazoa; Mollusca; Gastropoda; Nudibranchia; Trinchesiidae
Description: partial 16S ribosomal RNA
Rfam family: Archaeal large subunit ribosomal RNA
Source: RNAcentral
ACAUAGCCAUAUGAAGAUAUUUAUGGUUUAACCUGCCCAAUGUAUAAUUUUAUUAAUGGCCGCGGUACCCUGACCGUGCUAAGGUAGCGUAAUCAGUUGGCUUUUAAAUGGAGUCAGGAAUGAAUGGAAUAACCGGGUUUAGCUGUCUCAUAGGUAUUAUAUUGAAUUUACUGUUCAAGUGAAAAAGCUUGAAUUUAAUAAAAAGACGAGAAGACCCUUAGAAUUUUUUUUAAAGCGAUUUUCUUCGUUAUGAUUUUGUUGGGGCGACAGAGAAAUAAUUAAAACUUUCUUUAAAAUUAUAAGCCGGAAUUUUCAAGCUAGAAUAAAUUACCUGAGGGAUAACAGCAUAAUUCUACAAAUGAGUUUAUGACCUCGAUGUUGGACUAGGAAGCUGGCAGGUUAGCUGCUUGUCGUGGAGAUUCUGUUCGAAUUUUAAAUCCUACGUGA